AUUGAACGCUGGCGGCAUGCCUUACACAUGCAAGUCGAACGGCAGCAUGGAGAGCUUGCUCUCUGAUGGCGAGUGGCGAACGGGUGAGUAAUGCAUCGGAACGUACCGUGUAAUGGGGGAUAACGUAGCGAAAGUUACGCUAAUACCGCAUACGACCUGAGGGUGAAAGCAGGGGAUCGCAAGACCUUGCGUUAUACGAGCGGCCGAUGUCAGAUUAGCUAGUUGGUGAGGUAAAGGCUCACCAAGGCGACGAUCGGUAGCGGGUCUGAGAGGAUGAUCCGCCACACUGGGACUGAGACACGGCCCAGACUCCUAAGGGAGGCAGCAGUGGGGAAUUUUGGACAAGGGGCGAAAGCCUGAUCCAGCAAUGCCGCGUGUGUGAAGAAGGCCUUCGGGUUGUAAAGCACUUUUGUCCGGAAAGAAAUUGCUCUGGUUAAUACCUGGGGUCGAUGACGGUACCGGAAGAAUAAGGACCGGCUAACUACGUGCCAGCCGCCGCCGUAA
Molecule: ribosomal RNA, 504 nt
Filed under: uncultured bacterium
Lineage: Bacteria
Description: partial 16S ribosomal RNA
Rfam family: Bacterial small subunit ribosomal RNA
Source: RNAcentral